AUACGGAGGAUGCGAGCGUUAUCCGGAUUUAUUGGGUUUAAAGGGUGCGUAGGCGGUUUAUCAAGUCAGCGGUGAAACGCAAGGGCUUAACCCUUGACCUGCCGUUGAAACUGGUGGACUGGAAUGCGGAUGCUGUGGGAGGAAUGUGUGGUGUAGCGGUGAAAUGCAUAGAUAUCACACAGAACACCGAUUGCGAAGGCAUCUCACAAAUCCGUGAUUGACGCUGAGGCACGAAAGUGUGGGGAUCAAACAGGAUUAGAUACCCUGGUAGUCCACACUGUAAACGAUGAUGACUCGCUGUCGGCGAUAUACAGUCGGUGGCCAAGCGAAAGCGAUAAGUCAUCCACCUGGGGAGUACGACCGCAAGGUUGAAACUCAAAUGAAUUGACGGGG
This 393-nucleotide ribosomal RNA is filed under the name uncultured bacterium. RNAcentral describes it as "partial 16S ribosomal RNA". It matches the Rfam family "Bacterial small subunit ribosomal RNA", at positions 523 to 918 of the family's 1533-position model. The record is from RNAcentral.